UGAGGAAGAAGGCGAGUUACAUCACCCCGGUGCCCGGCGGUGUGGGGCCCAUGACCGUGGCCAUGCUGAUGAAAAACACCAUCAUCGCCGCCAAGAAACUGCUGAAACCCAAAGAGCUCGAGGCUCUGCCUGCCUAGGCAGGACUGGCACCUGGGCCUGGCUGGGCUCGCCUCAGGAGCUGGGCCCACCAAGAACUGGGCCUAGCCAGGGCCCACCGAGAGCUGGGCCUAGCCAGGCCUCCCUUGGAUUUGGGUCCCUCAGGAUCUGGGCCUGGCUGGGCCCCCCAGGAUCCAGGCUUAGCCAGGCCCCCCUUGGAUUUGGGGCCUCCCCUUGGAUCCAGGCCUGGCUGGGCCCCCCAAAAGCCGGGCCUAGCUGGGCUCCCCUUGGAUCUGGGCCCCCCCUCAGGAUCCAGGCCUGGCCAGGGCCUCUCUGCCCACGACAUUCCAGACUGACUCCCGAACAGGCCGAUAGAAAAUGCAAUAUUUCUUAUUUAUUGUCUCGUAUGUGGGGCUGCUCCCUCUCGGAGCUCACAGGUAUUUAUUGGAAUUUGGUGAGAGCUGGGAUUAUCCACACUCCUGCUUUGUUAGAGCUGGGAUUAUCCACAUUUCUGCUUUGUGUUAGAGCUGGGAUUAUCCACAUUUCUGUUUUGUGUUUGAGCUGGGAUUAUCCCCAUUUCUCCUGCUUUGAGCUGGGAUUAUCCCCAUUUCUCCUGAGCCAGCCCUGCUCCUGCAGGAUCCUCUUGGCAUCCCAGCAAUUCCAGCCUCCAUGGUUUUAUUCUCCAAACCCCAACAUUCCCAAUUUCCUGCUGGAUUUUUAAUUUAAGCUCUCCUGUAGAAGGAAUUACUUGAAAAAAAAACCCUGAAAAUUGAAGCCAUAUUUGUGUAACAUUUUUUAGAGUGCAGCUAGGCUGGGCUUUAUUUCACUCUUUGGAUGGUGAAUUUUUAAAAAUCCUUUUAUUUUCUAACCAAAGAACCACCUUGGGGGUCAGGGGGAGGUUUCCUGCACCGUGUUGUAAAGUGUGAGUGCUCGGUGAGUAGUGCAGGUUAAAUAAAGUGUGAGAAGAGAAAAAUAAAAAAUCCUUU
This 1082-nucleotide long non-coding RNA is filed under the name Parus major (Great Tit). RNAcentral describes it as "lncRNA (ENSPMJG00000013524.1)". The record is from RNAcentral. Lineage: Eukaryota; Metazoa; Chordata; Aves; Passeriformes; Paridae.